CUUCUUUCCUUCCAUCCCUUUCUCUUCAGCUAGUUCUCUCUCUCUCUCACUCUCACUCAAAAUUCAAAAUUGAGUUGUCUCCCUUCCAUCCGUUUCUUCAAUAGCAGAUCGGCGACUUCGCAUUCGGUACAUAUGCCUUUGCUUGAAGGAGUGUUUGAUUAGCUCAUAAAAAGUUAUCAUGGCUUUGUUUGCUGCAAUGGUUGAUUAGGUUAGACAAUGAAUGGAAGUGUUGUGUGGGUCUAUUAGUGAAUGUUUCAAGAAAUGGAGAUCAAUGGUACAACGGCCCUUUUAACAAGUAUCGAUACUAGAAUGGCUAUUGAACGACUUUCAAAUCCUUAGGGCAACAAUUUUAUUUUUAAAAUUGUCUUAGUUAAUGUAAUUGAUGGCUUCUUACAUUAAUCAUCUUUGCAAUAACUCUUUGGUUUAGCCACAUUCAACCAUUAUAUGAAUGCGAUGAUUUUUGUUUGACAACUUAUUUGGGUAAGUUGGAUCAAAGAAUGGAUUUACUCGACUCAGGUUUGGAUGUAUAUUCUAUAUGCCUUUCAAGUUUAGAGUUUCACAAAGUGUAUGAGUGGUUGAAAGGAGAGUGCCUUUAGGCACGGAUGAAAAUAUUGUUGA
Non-coding RNA from Camellia sinensis, 618 nucleotides. Lineage: Eukaryota; Viridiplantae; Streptophyta; Magnoliopsida; Ericales; Theaceae. The record is from RefSeq and is a predicted model, not a curated record.